UGAGGAAUAUUGGUCAAUGGGCGAGAGCCUGAACCAGCCAAGUCGCGUGAAGGAAGAAGGUUCUAUGGAUUGUAAACUUCUUUUGUAAGGGAAUAAAAAGAGUUACGUGUAACUUAUUGUAUGUACUUUACGAAUAAGGAUCGGCUAACUCCGUGCCAGCAGCCGCGGUAAUACGGAGGAUCCAAGCGUUAUCCGGAUUUAUUGGGUUUAAAGGGUGCGUAGGCGGGUUUUUAAGUCAGUGGUGAAAGUUUGCAGCUCAACUGUAAAAUUGCCAUUGAAACUGAAGACCUUGAGUGUAAAUGAGGUAGGCGGAAUGUGUUGUGUAGCGGUGAAAUGCUUAGAUAUAACACAGAACACCAAUUGCGAAGGCAGCUUACUGGGAUACAACUGACGCUGAGGCACGAAAGCGUGGGGAUCAAACA
RNAcentral lists this ribosomal RNA (422 nucleotides) under uncultured bacterium. RNAcentral describes it as "bacterial SSU rRNA". It matches the Rfam family "Bacterial small subunit ribosomal RNA", at positions 355 to 774 of the family's 1533-position model. The record is from RNAcentral. RNAcentral also lists the same sequence under 1 other name.